RNAcentral lists this non-coding RNA (75 nucleotides) under unclassified sequences. Its description in RNAcentral is "RAGATH-18 RNA". It matches the Rfam family "RAGATH-18 RNA". From Rfam's summary of the family: Actinobacteria, Firmicutes, Fusobacteria, Thermotogae (1 example). Nearby to self-cleaving ribozyme genes The record is from Rfam by way of RNAcentral.
CCUAUGGAGAGUACAAGAACUUGUGAGUAGUAUCUGAACUAAUUCAGUAUGAAAACAUACUCAAUGAAAUAGGAA